This 109-nucleotide ribosomal RNA is filed under the name uncultured bacterium. Its description in RNAcentral is "partial 16S ribosomal RNA". The record is from RNAcentral.
AAGAAGGCUUUCGGGUUGUAAACCUCUUUCAGGAAGGGACGAAGCUACUCGGGUUAAUAGCCCAGAGGGUGACGGUACCUCCAAGAAGAAGCCCCGGCUAACUACGUGC